Molecule: small nuclear RNA, 126 nt
Organism: Rhodamnia argentea
Lineage: Eukaryota; Viridiplantae; Streptophyta; Magnoliopsida; Myrtales; Myrtaceae
Source: RefSeq, a predicted model, not a curated record
GGGCUCUAAAGGAGAGAUGGUUGGCAUCUCCCCUGACAGGGACGGGAACAACCUUCGGGUUUACCUGUUAACCUACACUCUAAACUAUUUUUUUAACUACAAAAAAUCUCAAACUGGUAUACUUAU